RNA transcript from Ricinus communis (castor bean), 2882 nucleotides. It is a transcript of the gene named U-box domain-containing protein 2, with no coding region annotated. The transcript is spliced from 3 exons. The record is from RefSeq and is a predicted model, not a curated record. NCBI's taxonomy places the organism in Eukaryota, Viridiplantae, Streptophyta, Magnoliopsida, Malpighiales, Euphorbiaceae.
UAACCAUACAAUACGGUUUGAUAGAAUCUAAGCCUGUCACUGCAAUACUAUCAAAUAAAAAAAGACGCGACCAAUAUAUGAUUUGAGAUUAUUUUUUAAAAGUAUAAAUAAAAAUAAUAUAAAAAAUUAAAAUAUAUUAUAAAAAAUAAAUUGAGAUCUCUAUUUAAAAGUUGUGAAUUAAAUGAUGAAAGUUUAUAUAUAUAAAAUGAAUUUACAAAUUAAAGCUUUCCCAGUCCCACUCUACUCUACCAAAAAAAGAAAAAAAAGUUACCAUUUUUAAACUGUUGCUUAACGCCACCCCUAUCAACCACCAUAUGUUUCUCUCUCUCUCUCUCUCUCUCUCAUAAAUUCUCCAGAUUUUUUUUUUUAAUUUUCCCUCUCUCUCUAUCUAUCUUCCACGUACAAUCCUAACGUUCUUUCUUUCUUUCUUUCUUUCUUUCAAUAAUGGAGUCGUGUGGAGACAAUCACCUCCCUUCAUCUCCCGACACCGAUGGGACACCAAGAAUGGCCACCGCUGCCUCCUCCGCCGUGCAACGGGCUCUCCGACUUGUCCAGUCGGAUGAGCUUGAGUUAAAGAUUGAAGGUGCUAAAGAUAUUAGAAAGCUUACAAAGACUUCACAAAGGUGUCGCCGACAGUUAUCUGAAGCUGUUUAUAGUCUUGUUUCUAUGCUUUAUGUGCUUGGCUCACGGGACUCUCACGAGUCUGCUCUUCUUGCUCUCCUUAAUCUCGCUGUUCAAGAUGAGAAGAAUAAGAAAAGCAUUGUUGAAGCUGGAGCCUUAGAGCCAAUCAUUGGCUUCCUUCAGUCACAGGAUUUAAACCUACAGGAGUAUGCAACAGCAGCCUUGCUUACUUUAUCUGCUUCUUCCACUAACAAGCCGAUUAUAAGUGCUUCUGGUGCUAUUCCUUUACUUGUGGAAAUCCUUAGGGACGGAAGUUCACAAGCCAAGUUUGAUGCUGUAAUGGCUCUUUCUAAUCUUUCAACACAUACAGAUAAUCUGAGCAUCAUUCUCGAAUCUAAUCCAAUACCUUAUCUAGUUAGUUUACUUAAGACCUGUAAAAAAUCUUCAAAAGUUGCUGAAAAAUGCUGUGUUCUCAUAGAAUCUUUAGUUGGUUUUGAUGAGGGUAGAACAGCUUUGACAUCUGAAGAAGGUGGAGUUCUUGCUGUUGUUGAAAUACUAGAAAAUGGAUCUGUGCAGAGUCGAGAGCAUGCAGUUGGGGCUUUACUGACCAUGUGUCAAAGUGAUCGAUGUAAAUAUAGAGAACCAAUUCUCAGAGAAGGUGUGAUUCCUGGGCUACUUGAGCUUACAGUUCAAGGAACAUCGAAGUCUCAAAUAAAAGCACAAACGCUAUUGCAGUUACUGAGGGAAACUCCUUACCCGAGAUCCGAACUUCAAGCAGACACACUAGAGAAUAUCGUAUGCAACAUUAUCUCACAGAUAGAUGGAGAUGAACAAUCUGGUAAAGCAAAGAAAAUGCUGGCUGAAAUGGUUCAAGUUAGUAUGGAACAGAGCUUGAGACAUCUACAACAAAGGGCUGCUCUGGUAUGCACGCCAAGCGAUCUGCCAAUUAGUAGCUGUACUUCUGAAGUUUCCCUGAAAUGAUUGAUUUUGGGUAUCAAAAUUCUCUUUGCCUUUUUCUUUCUCUCAUGUGGGGUUUGUCAGAUAAAGUUGUCCUUGUUGUAAAAAAAGAAAAAAGAAAGCGAAAAAAAAAAGAAAAUAAAAGAAGAAAAAGGUUAUAGGGAAGAAGAAUGCCAGUCCAGGCCCUAGUGUUGGUAUCAGGUGACUGUUUUCCUUUGAUUGAUCUUUUACCUGAUUGUUUUUGGAGAGAACUUGAGGUCCUGACAUGAGGCGGAGAACAUCCCCACACUGUUCUGGUAAGGAAUUUCCACUGUCAUCAUCAAUGGGUUAGGGAAAAUAUAGGCACCAGAGGCACCUGUUCCCUAAAUCAUUCUACAUAUUGCUGCAAUGAUAAAAUCAUACCACUGCUCUCAUUACAUUUUUGCAUUUCUUUUCUAAAUUUCAAAAGUUUAUUGAUCCCAUGUUUUUUGUUCACAGAACCAGCAGAAUUUUUGAAAUAUUUUGUCUGUUUUGUCAUAAAAGCUCUGUGACAGGAUAAGCUUCAUUUCAUUUCUCAUGGAUGGAUAUCAGAAAAUAUACACAUGAAACAGAACAUGACCCAGAAAUAAAGUCCUUCCACUACUUUACCAACAGUUUCCUUUACUUGAUUAAGACAUUCAUAGUGUUUGAAGAAUGAGACUUAUGGGUAGCCUUGUUUUUAGGUUUGAGCAAGACAGUGAUAGAUUUGGUUUUAGGUUUUCUUCUUUUUUCUUUUUGUUUUUUUGGUUUCGGUUCAGUUUUAAACUUUGACAAUCAAACUAAUUUUAAUGUGGUUUGGUUUUUGUCAAAAGUUCUUCGAUUAAACUCAACCGACUUAUAAAAUUUGAUAUUUUAUUUCAUUAAUUUACUGCAAGAAUAAAUCAUUUUAUUUGGUUCGUUUUAAUUUUAUUUACAUUUUUUAUGAAAAAUUUAGUUAUUUGAUUUUUCAGUGUGAUUCGAUUUUAAUUAUAACCAACUGUUUUGCAUAGCAUUACUUGUUUUCAGGAUUGAUAAGGCUUGAAGUCAGCAUCAAUCUGGUGCUUAUUGAGCUUUUUAUUUCUUGAUUUUUGUUGCUUCCAUUAGUUAUCAAUUCAUUGAUCCAACUUGCUUUUCUGAGGCAGUUGGGCAGCUUUCUGCUUUUGUUUAGGUUUAAGAAUUUUUAAGAAUCAUUUAAAACAUGAUUCCUGAAGUUAGGUAAGAGCAAGUAGAAUUUUCUUUAUUUCUCUUUUUUAUUGUAUACCUGCUACUGCCCAAGAGAUAAUUAUGAGAAUUUAGAAAUUUUGCAA